ACUUUUAGAAAUGACGGUGCCAGGAGUUGCCCGGAGCAGUUACAUCCCAGCCGGUUUAGCAGCUGCCGUCUUCAGCGUUCUCCCUCGAUACUGUACGGAUUACAAAAAUGGUUGUCCCCAUUAUUCACUUAGACACAAAAUCAU
Sebastes umbrosus (honeycomb rockfish) is the source of this 144-nucleotide long non-coding RNA. RefSeq lists it as uncharacterized. The transcript is spliced from 4 exons. NCBI's taxonomy places the organism in Eukaryota, Metazoa, Chordata, Actinopteri, Perciformes, Sebastidae. The record is from RefSeq and is a predicted model, not a curated record.